This 858-nucleotide long non-coding RNA is filed under the name Physcomitrium patens. RNAcentral's name for it is "long non-coding RNA (PPAT_LNC010966)". The record is from RNAcentral. Lineage: Eukaryota; Viridiplantae; Streptophyta; Bryopsida; Funariales; Funariaceae.
CUGUGAGCUCCUGCGCAAGCUCAUCGUUGGGGGUAAACAUCCCUCCGAUGUCGUUACCAAGAGCAAUGAUGCAGGCCCCGGUUAGGGUUGCGAGAUCCACGAUUUUGUCCACCUUGAGGUUGUUCGCGUACACGAGGGCGUCUGCCAAGGUAAGUCGGCCUUCGGCGUCAGUGUUGUUCACUUCAAUAGUCUUUCCAUUGGAGGCUGUCAAAAUGUCGCCGGGUCUCAUGCCUCCCCCACUGAUCAUGUUCUCACAGGCUGCGACGACGAAGUUGACUUCGACACCCUCAGGCUUUAUGGCGGCUAUGGCUUUCGCUGCUCCAAGCACAGCUGCCGCACCUCCCAUAUCGAAUUUCAUAAGCUCGAUCAUACAGCCAGGGCCAGUCUUCAAGUUGUAGCCUCCACUGUCGAAUGUCAAACCCUUACCCACAAUCGCCAAUUUCGUGGUCACGGCUCCCAAAGGCGAAUAACACAAGUGGAUGAAUUUCGGAGGAUUGGUGGAUGCAGCGGAUACACCAAGGUAAGCACCCAUCCCAAGUUUUUCGCACUCCUCCUUCUCGAGGAUUUUACAUGUCAUGACAUCGCCAUGUGCGGCAGCGAUGGCCUCGGCCUCGCACGCCAUGACGCUAGGAAGAAGAACAUUAGGCGGAGCAUUCACCAGUUGCUUUGCGAGGAUGACGCCUGUACAUUGCUGAAUGGUUUGGGCUAGCUGCGCUUCGAGGUCGGCAUCCGACCCUAAGCCGAACAGCUCCAAGUCCUUCAACUGCGGCUUCUUGAAGUCGGACUUAAAUCUCAUGUCCUCGAAAGAUCCCAACAUCACGCCAGUGGCGAUCAUCGACGCAGCGGUCUUCUUCACCG